UAGGAAUUAGGCUCCUCGCGGGAUUUUGUAAUGGACAAUGGUAAAGAGUAAUCGUAAAAGCUGUGUGUGAUUCUGUCCCAGUUACAUGUGGUUCUGUAGCCUCUGGAGACACUAGAUUACCGAGAGUCUGGGCAGUUGACUGACAUGGCAGGCACUUCCAUCUAUCCAGUUACAGAGAAGGCCUCCUUGUUCCACGCAGCAGUCAGUUGCUGCUUUGCUCCUCUCAUUUGGGGCAGUGCACCAGCUCUCAGAGAAGAAAGCAGCCAGCGACAGCCAGCACAGUCUUCCCA
Molecule: long non-coding RNA, 290 nt
Organism: Microtus oregoni (creeping vole)
Lineage: Eukaryota; Metazoa; Chordata; Mammalia; Rodentia; Cricetidae
Exons: 3
Source: RefSeq, a predicted model, not a curated record